RNAcentral lists this transfer RNA (85 nucleotides) under Oscillatoriales cyanobacterium. RNAcentral describes it as "tRNA-Ser". It matches the Rfam family "tRNA". Rfam says of the family: Transfer RNA (tRNA) molecules are approximately 80 nucleotides in length. Their secondary structure includes four short double-helical elements and three loops (D, anti-codon, and T loops). Further hydrogen bonds mediate the characteristic L-shaped molecular structure. tRNAs have two regions of fundamental functional importance: the anti-codon, which is responsible for specific mRNA codon recognition, and the 3' end, to which the tRNAs corresponding amino acid is attached (by aminoacyl-tRNA synthetases). tRNAs cope with the degeneracy of the genetic code in two manners: having more than one tRNA (with a specific anti-codon) for a particular amino acid; and 'wobble' base-pairing, i.e. permitting non-standard base-pairing at the 3rd anti-codon position. Lineage: Bacteria; Bacillati; Cyanobacteriota; Cyanophyceae; Oscillatoriales. RNAcentral also lists the same sequence under 49 other names. The record is from RNAcentral.
GGAGAGGUGGCAGAGUGGUCGAAUGCGCCUGACUUGAAAUCAGGUGAACUGAAAGGUUCCGUGGGUUCAAAUCCCACCCUCUCCG